Molecule: ribosomal RNA, 606 nt
Filed under: Nocardia araoensis
Lineage: Bacteria; Bacillati; Actinomycetota; Actinomycetes; Mycobacteriales; Nocardiaceae
Description: bacterial SSU rRNA
Rfam family: Bacterial small subunit ribosomal RNA
Source: RNAcentral
GCUUAACACAUGCAAGUCGAGCGGUAAGGCCCUUCGGGGUACACGAGCGGCGAACGGGUGAGUAACACGUGGGUGAUCUGCCUCGCACUUCGGGAUAAGCCUGGGAAACUGGGUCUAAUACCGGAUAUGACCUCUUGUCGCAUGGCUUGGGGUGGAAAGAUUUAUCGGUGCGAGAUGGGCCCGCGGCCUAUCAGCUUGUUGGUGGGGUAAUGGCCUACCAAGGCGACGACGGGUAGCCGGCCUGAGAGGGCGACCGGCCACACUGGGACUGAGACACGGCCCAGACUCCUACGGGAGGCAGCAGUGGGGAAUAUUGCACAAUGGGCGAAAGCCUGAUGCAGCGACGCCGCGUGAGGGAUGACGGCCUUCGGGUUGUAAACCUCUUUCGACAGGGACGAAGCGUAAGUGACGGUACCUGUAGAAGAAGCACCGGCCAACUACGUGCCAGCAGCCGCGGUAAUACGUAGGGUGCGAGCGUUGUCCGGAAUUACUGGGCGUAAAGAGCUUGUAGGCGGUUUGUCGCGUCGUCUGUGAAAACUCACAGCUCAACUGUGAGCUUGCAGGCGAUACGGGCAGACUUGAGUACUGCAGGGGAGACUGGAAUUC